Molecule: RNA transcript, 3412 nt
Organism: Epinephelus lanceolatus (giant grouper)
Lineage: Eukaryota; Metazoa; Chordata; Actinopteri; Perciformes; Serranidae
Source: RefSeq, a predicted model, not a curated record
GGGUUGGGAUGUAGAAGGACCAGUAAAUCAAAAGCUUCGCCUUCUGGCUCAGCUCCGUCUUCACCACGACGGUCCGACACAGCGCCCGCAUCACUGCAUGCACCAAACCACCGAUUCUCUUUCUUUUCAGCAGUGGCCAAAAGCAAGAUGACCUCUACCUGCAACACUAGCUUUUGUUAACUUGAAGCCACGCUGCAGCUCAUCAGGCAGACCACACACGGAGUGCGGAGGAAGCCCACUGCUGAAAAAGAAAUAGAGAGGAUGAAGAGGCAAAGGGGAGAGGAGUUAACAGUCUUGUUAUCACAGAGGGUGAAAAAUGAAAUGGUGAGUAGUUUUUUCCGCCAUAAAAACUCAUAAUGUAUGUACACCACCUCCCCUCAGUGUUAAACAUGUUAUCCUUUGCAUCUCUCAUCUUCGGCUGCUGUCCUCUCUCUCACAAUGUUGCUGUUAAAGUGAGUUUGGUUUAUUUUCUUUUUAUAUGGAGUUUCCAUCAUGCUCCACUCCCUCUGUGGUUCCAGCGCGGCUGGCCAAAUGGCAAUAAAAUGCUCAAAGGACAUCAGAGAGGGAGAAGGAGACCUAUUUGUUAGCCUAACAAAAUCUCAAGUAGUUAAAUAGGCAGUCAACAUGUGAGAAAAAAAGGAGCUUCAGUGCUGUUGUUCGGAGUAAGACAAGUGGCCGAACAACAGCCGCAGAGAAGCAGCUAACCAGUGUCUGUGUCAGUGAAGGAGAGUCAGUAGUCAGUCAACCAACCUUUGACAUCUCAUCUUUAUUUAUGUUGUGGGAGGCUUCUUUUUAUGUACAAGGCCAUCUAAAAGUACUGGAAAUAUGCACAAUACAAGAAAAUAAACACAUUAAAAAACAAGAACAUAACUCAAAUAAAAGCAGCUUCGGUCAAAUAAAAAAAUGCAUGCAAAGUCAUCAUAAAAACAAAAAGCACUUUCAACUGCUGUGUUUGCUAAAAUUAUGGCUUUAAGAUGCAAGUGGAAUGAGUGAGUCUAUGUGAAGAUUUUCCUGCACUCUGUUCCAUUUGGAUGUGAAUGAAAACUGAAAGCAGAUUUUCCUUGUUUUAUUGUGGUUUCUGGGGACUUUGAGAACUAAAUGGUCCUGACAAAUCUAUGUCAGUGUGCGCCCUCUGUCUCUGCCUCACUCCUGUCAACGUGGAAGACUUAUUUUCUGAAUGUGAGUUAAAAUGGUCCAGUCUACCACCUGAGAUACAACAGGAAACUUCAGGUCUUAUUUCACAAAUGUGCAUUAAAUAUGGAUUUCAUAGUCUUGUAUUUCAAUCCAAGACAAAUGCACAGGCAGGAAAGCCAGCGCUUAACUGACUUACAGCGAAGAUUUAUAUGUAUAAAUACAUGUUACAAAGUUGUCCUCAGAAGGACAGUUAAGGAUACUGCUGCCAGUAUUCCAGAGAUGUGGACUCGAGUCACAUGACUUGGACUUGAGUCACAGAAAAGAUGACUUUAGACUGGACUUGCCAAAAUCAAAAACAAAUUGCAUCUUGACUUGGACUUUAACACCAGUGACUCAUGACUUAAUUUGGAGUUGACUUUUGACUUAAAAACACUUGAUACCUUACUCCAGGCCAAUUUAGGAAGAGAAAGUUAUAGAUGUUCCUCCAAUAUGAGAAUACAACAAGACAAAUACAUACAAAACUUAUUCUGUUGUAGUAGGCUGCUGGUUAAUAGUGUUGUUAUGUGUUGUGUGUUGUUAUGUUUAGUACUUGAAACUCAAAGCUUAGAACUAGGGACUUGGGACUUGUCAGACUUGACUUGAGACUUGACUGAGGAUUUGCGUAUCUUGAGUUGGGACUUAAAUGCAAAAACUUGAGACUUGGUUGUGACUUGCAAAACAAUGACUUGGUUCCAUCUCUGCAAUAUUCAAUUCAAACAAACAAAUCCCAUGAAAAGACUUAAAUCAACAAUGUUGUUGGUUCCUCCAGAACACCUCAUUAGAGGCAGAACAACAACUCUGUUGAAGGUUGGUGAAAAAUUUGGUGAAAAGUUGACAUCAUAGAUACAGAAACAUGCCGGAUCAAAAUAAAUGUUUGAUUAAUGGUAACAAAUAUUUUAGUAAUGCACAUAUUGCAUGUUUUUUUUGCUCAUGUGUAAUUUGUAAUAAGGUAUUAACUGUAACUGUUAGUUGCUGUCCACAUAGUGAGCUUGAUUAGUUAGAAAAGUUAUUUAUUAGCAUUAGUCAGAUAAAUUAUUACUUAGUAGUUUUAGUUGAUGAACUUGUGCAGCAACAAGUGUGGGACAAAAUCACUUCAAACUGUUAUCAACCCUCUAAUCAGUAAAAUACAACACAUCUUUGUAGCGCUCAUGUUGUUUCCACAUUACAACUUAAAGCUCAUGAACACACCAAAGACCUUCUGAGGAGUACAUGAAGGCAUCAUUUGUUAUUCAUUGAUGAGUUUUCAGUUAUUUUUAGACAAUAAUGGAGGAGGGAAAUCAGCUGUAUCAGAACAGAAAAUACUUGUAGAAUCAAUUAAUUGUUGGUUUUGGUGUAUUCAUAGGGUUUAUUGAAAAGAAAUAUAUAGAAUAUCACCAGAUGGUUUUAAUCCUCAUCAUCUUUUCUUUCUUGUCAUUUUCUCAGCCUGACAUCUGAAUACACUGUCAUCCAGUUCUUCAUUUCAGCUCUGCCUUUGGUUUACGAUGGGGGUCAGUAGAGUCAACCAUCCCUGCUCAGUGACCCGGUCGCAGUCUGGGUCAUCACACAGCUCUGGAGGUUAAAUAGCUGUAAGAACACUCGUUAAUCUGCAAGCACUUGGUGAAACUGGCCUUAAUCUCCCUCUGGACUGUCCUGUCUCCCCUCACGGCACGGGCAGCCGUGCCCGAGAAUAGGCAUGUAAACCAUGUAGGCCUGACACCAGUUGUUUUGACUGAGAGCACUGAGGCACUGACUAAUAUUGUGCAACACAAGGCAGGGCCUUUAGCCCUAUAAGCUAUAACGAUGAAAUCCCAGCUGUAAACUCACCCCUCCCUCCUCCAGAACAGAUCUUUUCCAGGAUGGAAUUUGGAGGCAUUUUUUCUCUUGAAAGGUGCAGUUAAUCAUAUCAGAAAAUUCUGAUACACACAGCAGAGGGUGUAUUUCUCAGCAUUGUUACAGUAUUCCUUGAGAAAUCCACACCCAUUAGAGUCAAUGUGGUAAUGUGAUAGUGUUGAGCAGGCAUCCAGAGCCGUAUCAGCGCUGUGAACAGACAAACAACGCUCCAGUCACCACUUACAUUGCUCUUACAUUUUCACUGUAAAGUCAAUAGGGAUAUAAAGCUACUAAAUAGUUUUUAAUUGGCACUCGAGAUAUCUAAAGUGGCACUUUACAUAUUGUCCAAGCAGGGUAUAAUAAGGGCCAUGAAUGAAAUAGGAAUACAGCUUAAACCAGAUGUGGGUAAAAAAAAAAAAAAAAAUAAUAA